Molecule: long non-coding RNA, 1854 nt
Organism: Brassica napus (rape)
Lineage: Eukaryota; Viridiplantae; Streptophyta; Magnoliopsida; Brassicales; Brassicaceae
Exons: 2
Source: RefSeq, a predicted model, not a curated record
UGUUAAAAUUUAAAAAUAAAUUUAAAUUAUGACAUGCAUCUUAACAUUUAUAUAAAUAUAUAUCAUAACCUAAAUAUAAAUAAUUUAAUAACUUAAAUUAGAAAAAAAUAAAAAUCCCGGGCGUAGCUCGGGUUAAUCCCUAGUCUUAUAAUAUAAAGCAGAAGUUAACUCUCUUCUAGAGAGGACACGUCACUUAAUACUAUCACCAGAACAUGACACAUGUCCAAUCUUCCGCGAGUUCUGUUUAAUUCACCGAGUUCUUGGUGGGCUUUCAGUAAUAAUGGGUUGCUAUUCUGUUUUGUAAAUAUCCCAGCCCAAAAGAAAGUUCCAGCUUUCUCCGCCAUAGACGAAAGCUAAAUUAGGGUUAGUCCUCUUCUACCAUCUCCAGACCAAAAAUGAAGAUAAGCAUGUCGAGAGAUAUGAAUCGUCGGGAAGAAUCACUGUCUCAAGCUUCUACUGCGCCGUUUCGUCUUUGGUUCUUACAUUACGAGUGUUUUGAUUCAUUGAAUUUAAGAAACUUCUUAACCCCAUCAACGCAAAUCAAGCAUGAUAUCUCAUUCAAUGAUACUCAUUCAUCUUCUAGGCGGUGCUUUUUUACCUAUAAAAGGGUAAGUCUUCUCCCCUUGAACAUCAUCCUCACAGUUCGUGCUAAUCCAAAAAAAAAAUAAACAAUUUCCAGUAUCAUGCUUCUCCGAUGAUUCUUAAAAUCUCAUGAUCAUAUUAGUUUUUAAUUAUUUUUGGCAUUCAGAUUCAUAUAUAAAUUUCCAUUAAAAGAUCUUUUGAAUGAGAUAUGUUUAUUGAAUCCUUUCUUUUCACAUUUGUUGAACCAAAACUUACCGCAAUUGUGCCGUAUAAUCAAUGAAAGAACGAAGAGAUGAUUAGCCCCUGCAGCCGCCAUGAAAUCUGUGGAGUUUUUGGUUAUGCUUGCUGUUCUAACCUCAGUUUAUGCUAGAAGUCAGCUGAUGUGAUAGAAUUGAAGAUUGGUGACAAUGUAUGCUAAAAAAGCUCUUUUGCGUCGUUAUAUUUGGGAAGCAACUGGUACCAACUUCCAUGGUGAACUUGAUCUCUCAAUCUGCGUGAUUGGAAGAUGACUUAGUAUUGAAUUAUUCACUUUUACAAUUCAAGCCUUGGAAAUGUGAUGUUCAGACUCACAAAGGAGACAUUAUCAAGGUGUACUAUCGGUAAGUGUCUUAUUAAAUAUUUUUGUUAUGAUAAGCAGUAAGUAAGAUUAAGUAGUCAACUAUAGUUUAUUAUGGUUCAGUUCUUGGGUUCAAAAAGCCCCUGAUUACAUAUUUUACAGGUCAGACUUUGCUGAAUCUAUUUGUUUUCUUUCUUAUUUCAUUAUGUAAGAAAACCAAAUUACGAAAGAAUAGAAAAAAGUUAGAGAGAGCCUUGCAAUAAAGACAUAGUCUGUUUAUUUGAAUCAGUCUUGCGAUGCCAAGUAAUACACAGAGUGGUGUUACGACUGCGAAUGUUACGGGGAUGAUAAGUUAUGCUCACAUCCGUGAUUUGUCGGAAAUAUCGGCUUACAAGAGCUGUUUCCGGCUAAAGGAACCAGAGUUGACGUGGCUCUGGUCUUAUAUACUUCAGCGUUGGUGUUGUUCGCAAGCAAUACUCGCUCUUCUUUUUGUUCGAUAUACCGAGAGAUUGCGUUGCUGUUCGUGGUGAAAAAUGAGGUAGUGGUUAUUAUUAAGAUUGCCUAGAUGAAGUUUGAGUAUUGGUCUCUCUCUCUCAUAUGAUUUUCUUUAUAAGUAACUCAGAUGUGUUUUACUAUGAAGUUUAUGAAAAGUGUGUCCAUAUGAAGAUAACUCAAUGCUAUCAAAAGUCAAUGGUAAAAUAUAUGACUGUACACUA